Long non-coding RNA from Photinus pyralis (common eastern firefly), 1361 nucleotides. RefSeq lists it as uncharacterized. The transcript has 3 exons. The record is from RefSeq and is a predicted model, not a curated record. NCBI's taxonomy places the organism in Eukaryota, Metazoa, Arthropoda, Insecta, Coleoptera, Lampyridae.
UGCUGCUGCUGCAUUUCUUUACUGCCUUAACUAUUGCAAGCAUUCUCGCGAAGUAAUGAUUAAUUAAAAGGUGAUGGGGAAAAAAUUACUCUUCCAACUUUUUGACAAAAAACAAACGACUCGCAAAAUCCUGUCAUUGUUUUUUGAUGUUCCGCUAACAGCUAACUGGCCAACUGCGCUUUAUAGACAGAUAGGUAUUACGAAAAAAAAAACCAAUUUAAAAUUUAUUUCGUAUGAAGGGCUACCGCAAAAUGCGAAACUGUAUUCUAGUUCUCCGAAACCACUAUUUCUAAUGAGGAAUAUAUAUUACGAAAUGCUAGUAGGUACGUCCAAUAUUAAUUACCCUAACGAGACAUGUUUUAUUUGAUUUUAACCAAAACUACUUACCUAGAUAUCCUAAAGAAUAAAUAGGUGACUUCCUUGACGUAUUUUACCGCGUAAGGCGUUUUCAAAAAAACAAAGCGCCCUUGUUUCCGACCGUUAUUCCUGGAAAUGGGAGUAUGCAUUUCAGAUCUAAAACAAAGAAUGUAUCGUUUUCUCACUCGUUACACGUUCCGUCUUUAGUUUUCCGCUACGAUCGCAAUUUGCCUCCUAUUUACUAUAGUUAAACGUAAAGUGCGCGCGCGAGUCACACACAAUAUGACAUCACGAAAAUUCUCAACGUUUCGAGCAUCGGGCGCGAAAAUUUCGCAACAAACAUUUCUAAAGCCACCUGUCGAUCAACAACGGCUAUCAACGACACGUUGGCGUUGGCUCCAGAAAUAAACGCUGUGGUAAACAACGCGGUGUCUCUUAGGUAAAUUCGUAUCAAAAUGGGAUUCCAUUGAAAUAGAUGCCCGUGUCAUCACAAUCAAUUCGCCCCACGAUUGUAACAGAAAAUUUAGUGGACACACAUCCGUAGCGCGGUUAGAAGGAGGAUUUGCUACAGAUUUUCUGUUUGCCUGGUGGUUGAAAAUAAUCCCUCAAAUUGCUGGAAACGAUGAGAUCACCUACACUGCCUCCACUACCAACAGCUCAGGUGGAGCCCAUGGUUGAAACUUUAUCGUAACGGGCGAAUUAUUGAUUACAGGGACGCAAAACAACUUGAAUCUCUCUCGAUGCCCUUCGUCGUUUUUCCGCACCAAAGGUACGUUGUGGUUGGAGCCCAUUUAACGAUCCAAGGGAUAUUCGCAACCUACACCUUCGAGGGGAUUGCAGCGCAAACUACAUAUUUCAACACAAGAGGCGGGAUGGAAUUCAAAGGAUGACCAGAGAUGGCAUUUUUUCUUUUCUUAAUGAAACACGAUUAUUUGUAGUCUAAUGGUUUUAUUUACAACACUAUUUACAUAAUCUUUUUUCAAAAAUAGCUAAUGUUUACAUAA